This 923-nucleotide ribosomal RNA is filed under the name Diaporthe sp. RNAcentral's name for it is "partial large subunit ribosomal RNA". It matches the Rfam family "Eukaryotic large subunit ribosomal RNA", at positions 23 to 978 of the family's 3401-position model. Lineage: Eukaryota; Fungi; Ascomycota; Sordariomycetes; Diaporthales; Diaporthaceae. The record is from RNAcentral.
ACCCGCUGAACUUAAGCAUAUCAAUAAGCGGAGGAAAAGAAACCAACAGGGAUUGCCCUAGUAACGGCGAGUGAAGCGGCAACAGCUCAAAUUUGAAAUCUGGCCUCGGCCCGAGUUGUAAUUUGCAGAGGAUGCUUCUGGCGCGGUGCCUUCCGAGUUCCCUGGAACGGGACGCCACAGAGGGUGAGAGCCCCGUAUGGUCGGACACCAAGCCUGUGUGAAGCUCCUUCGACGAGUCGAGUAGUUUGGGAAUGCUGCUCUAAAUGGGAGGUAAAUCUCUUCUAAAGCUAAAUACCGGCCAGAGACCGAUAGCGCACAAGUAGAGUGAUCGAAAGAUGAAAAGCACCUUGAAAAGGGGGUUAAAUAGUACGUGAAAUUGUUGAAAGGGAAGCACUUGUGACCAGACUUGGGCCGGGCGGCUCAUCAGGGGUUCUCCCCUGUGCACUCCGCCCGGCACAGGCCAGCAUCGGUUCUCGUGGGGGGAUAAGACCGUCAGGAACGUAGCACCCUCCGGGGUGUGUUAUAGCCUGGCGGACGAUACCCCCGUGGGGACCGAGGUUCGCGCUCCGCAAGGAUGCUGGCGUAAUGGUCACCAGUGACCCGUCUUGAAACACGGACCAAGGAGUCGUCCAUUAGAGCGAGCGUUUGGGUGUAAAACCCGCACGCGUAAUGAAAGUGAACGCAGGUGAGAGCUUCGGCGCAUCAUCGACCGAUCCUGAUGUUCUCGGAAGGAUUUGAGUAAGAGUUUUAACGGACGGACCCGAAAGACAGUGAACUAUGCUUGUAUAGGGUGAAGCCAGAGGAAACUCUGGUGGAGGCUCGCAGCGGUUCUGACGUGCAAAUCGAUCGUCAAAUAUGAGCAUGGGGGCGAAAGACUAAUCGAACUGUCUAGUAGCUGGUUACCGCCGAAGUUUCCCUCAGGA